This 215-nucleotide long non-coding RNA is filed under the name Elaeis guineensis (African oil palm). RNAcentral describes it as "long non-coding RNA (EGUI_LNC072872)". Lineage: Eukaryota; Viridiplantae; Streptophyta; Magnoliopsida; Arecales; Arecaceae. The record is from RNAcentral.
GAAUAGGGAGUUGGGAUGCCUCAAAUCCCAAGCCUUCUCCUCUCCCUCUCAUCCUAAUCAAGAAUCCACAUCCCUACUCUCCCAAAAACCUUAAAAUCCCUCCAAACCAAAACUCAUUCUUUCCAAAUCCAUCUUUCUCAUGGGUCAUUUUUAGUUUUCCCCAAAUCUUCAAGCCCUAACCCACUUUUCAUCAUCUUUUUGCAUCAUGGCCCCCA